RNAcentral lists this long non-coding RNA (232 nucleotides) under Homo sapiens (human). RNAcentral's name for it is "non-protein coding lnc-MCM7-1:3". The record is from RNAcentral. Lineage: Eukaryota; Metazoa; Chordata; Mammalia; Primates; Hominidae.
CUGAAGCCACAGAACCCCUGAAGUCAGCCAAGCCAGGCCAGGAGGAAGACGGACCCCUGAAGGGCAAAGGUCAAGGGGCCACCACAGCCGACGGCAAAGGAAAGAGAAGAAGGCGCCGCCCUUGCUGGAGGGGGCCCCCUUGCGACUGAAGCCCCGGAGCAUCCACGAGUUGUCUGUGGAGCAGCAGCUCUACUACAAGGAGAUCACCGAGGCCUGCGUGGGCUCCUGCGAG